This is a non-coding RNA of Camellia sinensis, 331 nucleotides long. NCBI's taxonomy places the organism in Eukaryota, Viridiplantae, Streptophyta, Magnoliopsida, Ericales, Theaceae. The record is from RefSeq and is a predicted model, not a curated record.
AGUCUCUUUUGGCAGGAUUUUCUAUGACAGAACAACACAGGGAAGUUGUUAUGGCAAGUAUUUGGUGUUCAAGCAGCAACUUUCUGCCUCUAUGGCAUUCGUGAGCUUGAACAAAUAAUGUGGAAUGCAUUUAAGCUUGCAGUGAAAGAGAAGGUUUGGUGCCUUUAUCCCAACAAGAAUACUCCAACAAAGUCGGUUCAUGACCUUUAGUCAAGAUUCUUCACCAGUUCAACAAGGUGGUAAUUUUCAUGUUGAUUCUACACAGACAAAUGGAGAUAAAACUCUGCACUUUGUUUUACUUGAUGGUACAUGGAACAACUCUGCUGCCAUG